Molecule: long non-coding RNA, 293 nt
Organism: Peromyscus eremicus (cactus mouse)
Lineage: Eukaryota; Metazoa; Chordata; Mammalia; Rodentia; Cricetidae
Exons: 2
Source: RefSeq, a predicted model, not a curated record
GAAUGAAUGAGCCGAUUGUCUAUUUUCUUUCUGAGAUCUCUGCCCCAUGAGAAGAAUCUCCAUAAUGAUUUGAGGUUCAUCAUGGGAAGAUAUUCCUAAGAACCUUGGAAGGGGUCAUACAGCUGUCCUCCUGAGGACCAAGCACUCUGCCAUCACUUAUUUUUAGCACUGUGGCCAGCUAGUGCCUCUCCAUUCAUUGUCAUCUACUAUAGUAAGAGACUUCUCGGCUACAGGCAUCGGACACCAUAUGUUCCAGUCUUGGUUGGAAUAGAGCUUCUGUAACAGUAGUUAAG